This 348-nucleotide ribosomal RNA is filed under the name Triticum aestivum (bread wheat). Its description in RNAcentral is "partial small subunit ribosomal RNA". The record is from RNAcentral. Lineage: Eukaryota; Viridiplantae; Streptophyta; Magnoliopsida; Poales; Poaceae.
AUGUGUCGGACGAAAAAGUUAAUAAUGCAUCAGUACAGCUUACAUCAUCAGUGGAUUUACAGUUCAAACUUCUGUGAGGGGCUGUGCUGCUGUCUGCCCAUGUCCCGAAGUGCAUUUGCUAGGAGAUAUUUAUCCUUUCUAUUUUACUUGAUCCAGUAUGCAUCCAUCCUGAUAGAUGAUAGAUCUGCCAUAUGCAUGAAGUGGAUGCACCGGGACCUCAAACCAGAGAAUUUCUUGUUUGCAAACUGGAAAGAAACGGCUGCACUGAAAGCAAUUGAUUUUGGCCUGUUUGUUUUGUUUUUCACUCCAAGUAGAGUCAAUCCUAAUAUCCUAUAUGGCUAUCGUUGA